Molecule: ribosomal RNA, 390 nt
Filed under: fungal sp.
Lineage: Eukaryota; Fungi
Description: SSU rRNA
Rfam family: Eukaryotic small subunit ribosomal RNA
Source: RNAcentral
CUUUGGUUCUAUUUUGUUGGCUUCUAGGACCGAAGUAAUGAUUAAUAGGGAUAGUUGGGGACGUUAGUAUUUAGUUGUCAGAGGUGAAAUUCUUAGAUUUACGAAAGACUAACUUCUGCGAAAGCAUUCGUCAAGGAUGUUUUCAUUAAUCAAGAACGAAAGUUGGGGGAUCGAAGACGAUCAGAUACCGUCGUAGUCUCAACCAUAAACUAUGCCGACUAGGGAUCGGACGGGAUUAUAUAUAUUGACCCGUUCGGCACCUUAUGAGAAAUCAGAAGUUUUUGGGUUCCGGGGGGAGUAUGGUCGCAAGGCUGAAACUUAAAGGAAUUGACGGAAGGGCACCACCAGGAGUGGAGCCUGCGGCUUAAUUUGACUCAACACGGGGAAACU